CAAAAGCGUAUAUUAAAGUUGUUGCAGUUAAAAAGCUCGUAGUUGAACCUUGGGCUUGGCUGGCCGGUCCAUCUUUUUUGACGCGUACUGGACCCAGCCGAGCCUUUCCUUCUGGCUAGCCUUUUGGCGAACCAGGACUUUUACUUUGAAAAAAUUAGAGUGUUCAAAGCAGGCCUUUGCUCGAAUAUAUUAGCAUGGAAUAAUAGAAUAGGACGUUAUGGUUCUAUUUUGUUGGUUUCUAGGACCAUCGUAAUGAUUAAUAGGGACGGUCGGGGGUAUCAGUAUUCAGUUGUCAGAGGUGAAAUUCUUGGAUUUACUGAAGACUAACUACUGCGAAAGCAUUUACCAAGGACGUUUUCAUUAA
This 364-nucleotide ribosomal RNA is filed under the name uncultured eukaryote. RNAcentral describes it as "partial 18S ribosomal RNA". It matches the Rfam family "Eukaryotic small subunit ribosomal RNA", at positions 592 to 976 of the family's 1831-position model. The record is from RNAcentral.